RNAcentral lists this ribosomal RNA (430 nucleotides) under uncultured bacterium. Its description in RNAcentral is "bacterial SSU rRNA". It matches the Rfam family "Bacterial small subunit ribosomal RNA", at positions 355 to 775 of the family's 1533-position model. The record is from RNAcentral.
UGAGGAAUAUUGCGCAAUGGGGGCAACCCUGACGCAGCAACGCCGCGUGAGUGAGGAAGGUUUUCGGACCGUAAAGCUCUGUCGAGCGGGAAGAAAUGCAUGGUGGCUAAUAUCCAUCAUGCUUGACGGUACCGCUAAAGGAAGCACCGGCUAACUCCGUGCCAGCAGCCGCGGUAAUACGGGGGGGUGCGAGCGUUGUUCGGAAUUAUUGGGCGUAAAGAGCGUGUAGGCGGCUGAAUAAGUCAGAUGUGAAAUCCCUGGGCUUAACCCAGGACGUGCAUUUGAAACUACUCGGCUAGAGUAGGGGAGAGGAAAGUGGAAUUCCUGGUGUAGAGGUGAAAUUCGUAGAUAUCAGGAGGAACACCGGUGGCGAAGGCGACUUUCUGGCCCUAUACUGACGCUGAGACGCGAGAGCGUGGGUAGCAAACAG